AUGACAACGCCGUGGCAGCAACGAGCUUUCACCAAAUUGUUCGGGCUUCAGUACACCAUCAAAUACAAGAAGGGGGCAGAGAACACAACAGCUGAUGCAUUGUCAAGAACCAACACAGAAGAAGUGCUACACACUCUCAGCGUGUGCCAACCAGCUUGGUUAGAGGACAUCGUCAACAACUACAAUACCAACCCGCAGGCGCAGCGACUUCUCGAACAACUGGCUGUCCGGGAGGAUCCAAAAGGGCGAUUUCAGCUGCAAAACGGGCUCCUCCGUUUCCGCGGCCGCAUCUGGCUAGGAGGGACCACAACAAUGCAGCAACAUAUCAUUGCUGCCUUUCACGACAUCCCGAUGGGCGGUCAUUCUGGGUUCCCAGUGACUUAUCGCCGCGUCCGCCGGCUAUUUGCUUGGCCCAAGAUGAAAACACACAUCCAACAAUACGUGAGAUGCUGUCAGGUCUGCCAACGAGCCAAGCCAGAUAGAACAGCUUCGCCGGGCUUGUUGUUACCCCUUCCUAUACCCAAGGAGUCAUGGGACCUCAUCACCAUGGAUUUUGUGGACGGCUUACCUCAGUCCGGACAAUACAACUGCUUGCUGGUUGUUGUCGACAAAAGAACCCGGUUUGCUCACUUUCUUCCCCUGGCUCACCCAUACACAGCAUCUAAAGUGGCACUGCUCUACAUGCAACAGUUAUACAAACUCCAUGGAUUCCCAGGAGCCAUUGUGUCCGAUCACGACCCAGUCUUUACCAGUCACUUUUGGCAGGAGUGGUUCAAGUAUGCAGGCACCGGGCUACGGAUGAGCACAGCAAACCACCCACAGACCGACGGGCAAACCGAGAGGGUGAACCAAUGCAUCGAGACCUACCUUCGUUGCUUUGUGCAAGCCUGUCCGAAAACGGUGGAGCUUUUGGGUUCCCUUGGCCCAAUUCUGGUACAACUCUUCUCACCACUCAGCAAUCGGGAUGACACCAUUCAAGGCCAUGUUCGGCAGGGAACCACGACAUUGGGUAAUUACGGCAACUACUUCAUCUUCGGUACCAGCGCUGCAAACUUGCCUCGAAGAGCGAGCUGUCAUGCAAGACUUGAUACAGCA
This 1095-nucleotide ribosomal RNA is filed under the name Triticum aestivum (bread wheat). RNAcentral describes it as "partial small subunit ribosomal RNA". The record is from RNAcentral. Lineage: Eukaryota; Viridiplantae; Streptophyta; Magnoliopsida; Poales; Poaceae.